AUUGAACGCUGGCGGCAUGCUUUACACAUGCAAGUCGAACGGCAGCGCGGGCUUCGGCCUGGCGGCGAGUGGCGAACGGGUGAGUAAUGCAUCGGAACGUGCCCAGUAGUGGGGGAUAGCCCGGCGAAAGCCGGAUUAAUACCGCAUACGACCUGAGGGUGAAAGCGGGGGACCGAAAGGCCUCGCGCUAUUUGAGCGGCCGAUGUCGGAUUUGCUAGUUGGUGGGGUAAAGGCUUACCAAGGCGACGAUCCGUAGCUGGUCUGAGAGGAGGACCAGCCACACUGGGACGGAGACACGGCCCAGAGUCCUACGGGAGGCAGCAGUGGGGAAUUGUGGACAAUGGGGGCAACCCUGAUACAGCCAGGCCGCGUGAGGGAAGAAGGCCUUCGGGUUGUAAACCGCUUUUGUUGGGGAAGAAAUGCUCUGGGCUAAUACCACGGGGGGAUGACGGUACCGGAAGAAUAAGCACCGGCUAACUACGUG
Molecule: ribosomal RNA, 484 nt
Filed under: uncultured bacterium
Lineage: Bacteria
Description: partial 16S ribosomal RNA
Rfam family: Bacterial small subunit ribosomal RNA
Source: RNAcentral